GUCUGCACUCUCCCAAUGAGGGCCGCUUGUCUCUGCCUCAGUACCAAAGGCAUGGGGUAAAUUGGCUCAUUUGGGGUUAGGGCGAUGACAUCAAGAAGCAGGGUCUGAAGUCUAGGCCGCUAUUCUGGGGUCUCUCAGAAGGUCAGCGUUGGUCCAUUGAUGGAGAUUACUUAAGACUGAAAGUCAUCAUUAACCUGCGUGUCCUAAGGAGGGAGCUCCCAGGGAGAGGUCUGAGCUGUUUUUGGAAACCUACAAUGGAGGAACAUCAGGCUCAAAGACAGCCCUCAAUGACUGAAGAUUUCUGAGCUUUCAUCUUUAAGACCUUCCUGUUACAUGUCCUCUUAAGAUCCUGGGGACUUGGCUGACCCCAAGCAGCACUGAUUCAGCAGUAUGCUGACUCUGAGAAUGUUAGAUGUUGCAUGAAAAAGGGCUGCAAGAAGCAGCCAGAGGGCUGAAGCUGUGCAGUUUGGAGAAGGGGACAGGGUAGUCACCCUCUCCCACCCCCAGGCUGGGUGAACCAGCAGUGGCCUGGGUGACCACAGAGGGCAGAACUAGGACCAGUGGUAGAAAAGUCAUAGGAAGCAGAUUUCAAUCCUAAUUAUGACAGACUUUUUCCAUUUUUGAGCAACUGAGCUUCAUGAGCUCCCUGUCUUUGGAGGUAUUCCAGCAGAGACUAGCUGAUCACUUACAAAGAAUGUUGGAGACAGAAUUGAUGCAUCUAGUGAGGCUGUGGAGUGACUAGAUGAUUUCUGCAAUUCCUUUUAGCCUGGUGACCCUGUACUCGAUAUGGGACCAGGUAGGAGUAUAACUUCAGCGUUUGCAUGCUGUAAGCCUUAGCAGUCAGCAUCCUCUCUUCCCCUGCUCCCCAAAAUCACCUGAAGGUUAAUCUAAAGACAGCCAAGUUAGAUCCUUUCUCUGGUAGGCAACACUUGAGUCUCAUAUUGAUGCAAAGCCACCAUAAAGCAGCAUUCACAAUACACAUCACUUGAGAUUAGAUGGCCAGAGGUCAGAAUUUAUAUUUGGAUGCUUGCAAAAAGACCUGCUCAUAAAUUUCAUGCCUGUUGCGUUGAAUGAGAAAGACUUGAUGCUGGAAUAUAGAGAGAAAAACACAUUCCACAAUGCCUGCUGUCCAAGCAAAGAGCCUGUACAGGACCUUGUGUCAACCCAAAUGUCUACAGAUGUAUCAUCCCAGAGCAGCCUGAAUUGGGGGCAAUACCCAUAGCUAGUGCCUGAUGGAAUAAGAGUGCCUGAACCGCUUGGUGUGGGCGAUACUAUUAUUCCUUCAAAGUACUCCAGACUGAAGAAUCUUAGCUCCUAUCAUAGUGGUUGUCUACUUAAAAGGAAAGUUACAUUUUUGGAAAGAAGAAAACACAGUGUCAGUUCUAGGAGUCAGGAAACAUUUAAAAGAUAAAGAAAGAAGAGAAUGCAGUGGUUCACAGCCCAUCCGCUGAGUUAGAACCAGUCCAAAGAAUGAAAAGAGUGCUGAGGCAGGAGAAUCGCUUGAACCCGG
Cercocebus atys (sooty mangabey) is the source of this 1510-nucleotide long non-coding RNA. RefSeq lists it as uncharacterized. The record is from RefSeq and is a predicted model, not a curated record. Lineage: Eukaryota; Metazoa; Chordata; Mammalia; Primates; Cercopithecidae. The transcript has 3 exons.